CCUACGGGCGGCUGCAGUGGGGAAUAUUGCACAAUGGGCGCAAGCCUGAUGCAGCCAUGCCGCGUGUGUGAAGAAGGCCUUCGGGUUGUAAAGCACUUUCAGCGGGGAGGAAGGCGUUAAGGUUAAUAACCUUGGCGAUUGACGUUACCCGCAGAAGAAGCACCGGCUAACUCCGUGCCAGCAGCCGCGGUAAUACGGAGGGUGCAAGCGUUAAUCGGAAUUACUGGGCGUAAAGCGCACGCAGGCGGUCUGUCAAGUCGGAUGUGAAAUCCCCGGGCUAACCUGGGGAACUGCAUUCGAACCGGGAGGCCUAGAGUUUGUUAGAGGGGGGUGUAUUUCAGGUGUAGCGGUGAAAUGCGUAGAGAUCUGGAGGAAUACCGGUGGCGAAGGCGGCCCCCUGGACAAAGACUGACGCUCAGGUGCGAAAGCGUGGGGAGCAAACAGGAUUAGAUACCCCUGUAGUC
RNAcentral lists this ribosomal RNA (464 nucleotides) under uncultured Klebsiella sp. RNAcentral describes it as "bacterial SSU rRNA". It matches the Rfam family "Bacterial small subunit ribosomal RNA", at positions 338 to 795 of the family's 1533-position model. Lineage: Bacteria; Pseudomonadati; Pseudomonadota; Gammaproteobacteria; Enterobacterales; Enterobacteriaceae. The record is from RNAcentral.